ACGUAGGUGGCGAGCGUUGUCCGGAAUUAUUGGGCGUAAAGAGCAUGUAGGCGGCUUAAUAAGUCGAGCGUGAAAAUGCGGGGCUCAACCCCGUAUGGCGCUGGAAACUGUUAGGCUUGAGUGCAGGAGAGGAAAGGGGAAUUCCCAGUGUAGCGGUGAAAUGCGUAGAUAUUGGGAGGAACACCAGUGGCGAAGGCGCCUUUCUGGACUGUGUCUGACGCUGAGAUGCGAAAGCUAGGGUAGCGAACGG
This 250-nucleotide ribosomal RNA is filed under the name uncultured bacterium. RNAcentral's name for it is "partial 16S ribosomal RNA". It matches the Rfam family "Bacterial small subunit ribosomal RNA", at positions 525 to 775 of the family's 1533-position model. The record is from RNAcentral.